RNAcentral lists this long non-coding RNA (751 nucleotides) under Marmota monax (woodchuck). The record is from RNAcentral. Lineage: Eukaryota; Metazoa; Chordata; Mammalia; Rodentia; Sciuridae.
GCUGGUAGUGUACCUCAGUACUGGAGCAUGCGUGAGGCCCUGGGUUCAGUCCCCAGACCCAGAAACAAACAAACUAUUGUCUCCAGGAGAAAUAAUCAACAUUUGUGUUUUGGAGAUAUUUUUGUUCUAAUAAGUGUACUAAUCCAAAAAUCCUCCCGGUGGAAGGGAAACCUCCAUUGGAUCAUGCAUCCAAUCUGGCUCCCAGGAUGGGUUUUCCUUCCCCAGCACUGGGCACCUGGAGGAAGCCUGUUGGGAAAACAUAACGGCAGCCGCACCCCAGAGAAAAACCCCAGCAUGGCAUCUAACGACCCUCCUUCUCUUCUUUGUUUCUUUCAUUGGCGCGAAACGUUCCCGCCAGUGCCAAUGUUCAAAUCGUGCUGAUGGGAAGCCUUAGCCCCAAUUAGAAUUAACUUCUUGGGCUCCGGAACUGACAUAUGGAAGAGCUUGCCAAUAAACGGGCGACCUGUUAUCUACCUCAGCCCCUGCUACCUCUCUUAGACCUAUGUAAACACACAGCCUUUUGUAAUAAAGCGGAAACCUCUUUGGUAAUCUGUGUCGUGUGAUGCGGCGUCUUCCCAUCUUACAAAGCCAGGAACUUUAGAACAGGAAUUGGGGUCCUGUCAGGGAGGGAGGAAGCCAGGAGCGAGAGCACAUCCUCUGGGAUGGGUUGGGGAUAGAAAUGAACUUAUGAACUGCCACUAGAACAAGUAGAGACUGUGCUGGCAUGGCAGGAGCAUGGAGUCAAAUAGAG